Long non-coding RNA from Herpailurus yagouaroundi (jaguarundi), 135 nucleotides. RefSeq lists it as uncharacterized. The transcript is spliced from 3 exons. NCBI's taxonomy places the organism in Eukaryota, Metazoa, Chordata, Mammalia, Carnivora, Felidae. The record is from RefSeq and is a predicted model, not a curated record.
CCCUCCCCCAUGGUCAUCUGUUAAGUUUCUCAAGAUCCACAUAAGAGUGAAAACAUAUGUAUCUGUCUUUCUCUGUAUGACUUAGUUCACUUAGCAUAAUAUCCUCCAGUUCCAUCCAUGUUGCUACAAAUGGCC